AUACGUAGGGGGCGAGCGUUGUCCGGAAUGAUUGGGCGUAAAGGGCGCGUAGGCGGCCCGGUAAGUCUGGAGCGAAAGCCCUGUUUUUAAGAUGGGAAUUGCUUUGGAUACUGUCGGGCUUGAGUGCAGGAGAGGUAAGUGGAAUUCCCAGUGUAGCGGUGAAAUGCGUAGAGAUUGGGAGGAACACCAGUGGCGAAGGCGACUUACUGGACUGUAACUGACGCUGAGGCGCGAAAGUGUGGGGAGCAAACAGGAUUAGAUACCCUGGUAGUCCACACUGUAAACGAUGAAUGCUAGGUGUAGGGGGUAUCGACCCCUUCUGUGCCGCAGUCAACACAAUAAGCAUUCCGCCUGGGGAGUACGGCCGCAAGGUUGAAACUCAAAGGAAUUGACGGGG
This 397-nucleotide ribosomal RNA is filed under the name uncultured bacterium. RNAcentral's name for it is "partial 16S ribosomal RNA". It matches the Rfam family "Bacterial small subunit ribosomal RNA", at positions 523 to 918 of the family's 1533-position model. The record is from RNAcentral.